CACUAAGUGGGAGGUAAACUCCUUCUAAAGCUAAAUAUUGCCAUGAGACCGAUAGAAAACAAGUACCGUGAGGGAAAGUUGAAAAGUACUCUGAAUAGAGAGUCAAAUAGUACGUGAAACUGCCUAGGGGUUACAAACCCGUAGAACUCAAUGAUCCGGGCGGCGAUAUUCAGCGGUGGUCGGUUCCGCAAGGGGCCGGCUGCCGUGCACUUAUCGGUCCGCAGUAACGGACAUCGCGAUCCAUUACAAUUUGAAACUUGAACGCUUCAGCAACGGCCCCUGGCUCGUGUUUGGCGGCUCUCUAGUAAGGCGGCUCGGCGGCCACCCUGAGCGAGAGUCUCCGCGCCUUUCAACCGAGAGGCGCAGGGCCCGACCGAGUCUUGGUGUGCUGCUGAAAACGUGAUGGAUUGGUAUGAGCGGGGUGCCGAGUGUGUGACCUUAAGCCGGAGGUCCGAUAUAUGCUCGCCCCCCGAUCGGUGAUGACGCAUUAAGCAUUGAGGUACCUGCGGGA
This 511-nucleotide ribosomal RNA is filed under the name Anopheles jeyporiensis. RNAcentral describes it as "eukaryotic LSU rRNA". It matches the Rfam family "Eukaryotic large subunit ribosomal RNA", at positions 286 to 647 of the family's 3401-position model. Lineage: Eukaryota; Metazoa; Arthropoda; Insecta; Diptera; Culicidae. The record is from RNAcentral.